RNAcentral lists this ribosomal RNA (780 nucleotides) under fungal sp. TF7MSG. RNAcentral's name for it is "LSU rRNA". It matches the Rfam family "Eukaryotic large subunit ribosomal RNA", at positions 92 to 906 of the family's 3401-position model. The record is from RNAcentral. Lineage: Eukaryota; Fungi.
AGUGAAGCGGCAACAGCUCAAAUUUGAAAUCUGGCCCCUAGGGUCCGAGUUGUAAUUUGUAGAGGAUGCUUUUGGCGCGGCGCCUUCCGAGUUCCCUGGAACGGGACGCCAUAGAGGGUGAGAGCCCCGUCUGGUUGGAUGCCUAGCCUCUGUAAAGCUCCUUCGACGAGUCGAGUAGUUUGGGAAUGCUGCUCUAAAUGGGAGGUAUAUGUCUUCUAAAGCUAAAUACCGGCCAGAGACCGAUAGCGCACAAGUAGAGUGAUCGAAAGAUGAAAAGCACUUUGAAAAGAGGGUUAAAUAGUACGUGAAAUUGUUGAAAGGGAAGCGUUUGUGACCAGACUUGGGCCCGGUUGAUCAUCCAGCGUUUUCGCUGGUGCACUCUGCCGGCCCAGGCCAGCAUCAGUUCGCGCCGGGGGAUAAAGGCUUCGGGAAUGUGGCUCCUCGGAGUGUUAUAGCCCGUUGUGUAAUACCCUGGUGCGGACUGAGGUUCGCGCUCCGCAAGGAUGCUGGCGUAAUGGUCAUCAGCGACCCGUCUUGAAACACGGACCAAGGAGUCGUCUUCGUAUGCGAGUGUUCGGGUGUCAAACCCCUACGCGUAAUGAAAGUGAACGCAGGUGAGAGCUUCGGCGCAUCAUCGACCGAUCCUGAUGUUCUCGGAUGGAUUUGAGUAAGAGCAUACGGGGCCGGACCCGAAAGAAGGUGAACUAUGCCUGUAUAGGGUGAAGCCAGAGGAAACUCUGGUGGAGGCUCGCAGCGGUUCUGACGUGCAAAUCGAUCGUC